Molecule: ribosomal RNA, 448 nt
Filed under: uncultured bacterium
Lineage: Bacteria
Description: bacterial SSU rRNA
Rfam family: Bacterial small subunit ribosomal RNA
Source: RNAcentral
GUCCAGACUCCUACGGGAGGCAGCAGUGGGGAAUAUUGCACAAUGGGGGAAACCCUGAUGCAGCGACGCCGCGUGAGUGAAGAAGUAUUUCGGUAUGUAAAGCUCUAUCAGUAGGGAAGAAAAUGACGGUACCUGACUAAGAAGCCCCGGCUAACUACGUGCCAGCAGCCGCGGUAAUACGUAGGGGGCAAGCGUUAUCCGGAUUUACUGGGUGUAAAGGGAGCGUAGACGGCAUGGCAAGUCAGAUGUGAAAGCCCGGGGCUCAACCCCGGGACUGCAUUUGAAACUGUCAGGCUGGAGUGCAGGAGAGGUAAGUGGAAUUCCUAGUGUAGCGGUGAAAUGCGUAGAUAUUAGGAGGAACACCAGUGGCGAAGGCGGCUUACUGGACUGUAACUGACGUUGAGGCGCGAAAGCGUGGGGAGCAAACAGGAUUAGAUACCCCAGUAGA